CCAAAUCUUAAGCUAAGAUUUGUGAAGAAAGAGCUCUUAUAUAAGAGCUUUUAGGUUUAUAUUUAAGCUUUUUCUUCACAAAUCUUACCUUAAGAUUUGG
Arabidopsis lyrata subsp. lyrata is the source of this 100-nucleotide microRNA precursor. It matches the Rfam family "MIR1888 microRNA precursor family". NCBI's taxonomy places the organism in Eukaryota, Viridiplantae, Streptophyta, Magnoliopsida, Brassicales, Brassicaceae. The record is from Rfam.